GAAUUUUGGACAAUGGGGGCAACCCUGAUCCAGCCAUCCCGCGUGUGCGAUGAAGGCCUUCGGGUUGUAAAGCACUUUUGGCAGGGAAGAAAAGGCUCUGGCUAAUACCUGGAGCUGCUGACGGUACCUGCAGAAUAAGCACCGGCUAACUACGUGCCAGCAGCCGCGGUAAUACGUAGGGGCAAAGCUGUAAUCGGAAUUACUGGGGGAAAAGCGGGGGAGGGGGGUACGGAAAUAGGAAUGGGAAGCCCAGGGGCUUACCCUGGAAAUGGAUUCUUAAACGGCGGGGCAGGGGAAUGUAGGGGGGGGUAGAAUUCCGCGUGUAGCAGUGAAAUGCGUAGAGAUGCGGAGGAAUACCGAUGGCGAAGGCAGCCCCCUGGGAUAAUACUGACGCUCAUGCACGAAAGCGUGGGGAGCAAAC
RNAcentral lists this ribosomal RNA (421 nucleotides) under uncultured bacterium. RNAcentral describes it as "partial 16S ribosomal RNA". It matches the Rfam family "Bacterial small subunit ribosomal RNA", at positions 359 to 773 of the family's 1533-position model. The record is from RNAcentral.